CUGGGGAAAAUGAGGCUGAUUACAUUGGCCGAAUAACUGAGUUCUUUGAGGGUACCGACUGGUGCCACUACUUUAUAUGUCGUUGGAUCUUUCGUCCAGAGGACAAGGUGAUAUCCAGAACCAAGCUUGUCCAAAUGUACGUGCGUUCUCCGUGAGGAAAGAAUGAUAAUGUGCUCUACUGCAUCCGAAUAACUCACAAAUCGCACAACGAUCGACAACUCUCUCCUUAAACACUGCAACUGGUCAAGAUGAGGGCUACACAGGUGUUGUUCCUGGCCCUCGCCUUACUCAUGCUAGCAUCAGAUGUGGUAACAGAGGCGUCAAUGGAUGAUAGCGUUAAAAUCUUGAGGUGUGCGGCAACCAAUAUACCAUCACCACAGCCAUGUGACAACUUCACUUGCGAACUGGCAUGCUUCAACCUUAUAAAGUUACCCAAACAAGGCAAGUGCACUGAUUUCCAAUGUAAGUGCAUGAUAUGCGAAGACACCCCUCCAUUAUAAUGACAAAUGGGUGGAAACUAGCUAAGGUAGGAUGACAUGUUCAAUGGAAUGAUGCGAGGAAAUCGAAAAUGGUGUAGCUGUAAGGUUGUUCACUAAUAAACGACAUAUUAUGAAGAAUGAUGGAUUUGAUCUAGCUUCUUGA
This 642-nucleotide ribosomal RNA is filed under the name Triticum aestivum (bread wheat). RNAcentral describes it as "partial small subunit ribosomal RNA". The record is from RNAcentral. Lineage: Eukaryota; Viridiplantae; Streptophyta; Magnoliopsida; Poales; Poaceae.